GCCGGGGUGGCGAAGCUGGUAAACGCGGCGGACUUAAAAUCCGCUACCGGGAACGGUUCGCGGGUUCAAGUCCCGCCCCCGGCACCA
This 87-nucleotide transfer RNA is filed under the name Deltaproteobacteria bacterium HGW-Deltaproteobacteria-8. RNAcentral's name for it is "tRNA-Leu". It matches the Rfam family "tRNA". Rfam says of the family: Transfer RNA (tRNA) molecules are approximately 80 nucleotides in length. Their secondary structure includes four short double-helical elements and three loops (D, anti-codon, and T loops). Further hydrogen bonds mediate the characteristic L-shaped molecular structure. tRNAs have two regions of fundamental functional importance: the anti-codon, which is responsible for specific mRNA codon recognition, and the 3' end, to which the tRNAs corresponding amino acid is attached (by aminoacyl-tRNA synthetases). tRNAs cope with the degeneracy of the genetic code in two manners: having more than one tRNA (with a specific anti-codon) for a particular amino acid; and 'wobble' base-pairing, i.e. permitting non-standard base-pairing at the 3rd anti-codon position. Lineage: Bacteria; Deltaproteobacteria. RNAcentral also lists the same sequence under 1 other name. The record is from RNAcentral.